RNAcentral lists this ribosomal RNA (253 nucleotides) under uncultured bacterium. RNAcentral describes it as "partial 16S ribosomal RNA". It matches the Rfam family "Bacterial small subunit ribosomal RNA", at positions 524 to 776 of the family's 1533-position model. The record is from RNAcentral.
UACGGAGGGGGCUAGCGUUAUUCGGAAUUAUUGGGCGUAAAGAGCUCGUAGGCGGUUUGUUGCGUCGGCUGUGAAAUCCCGAGGCUCAACCUCGGGUCUGCAGUCGAUACGAGCAAACUAGAGUGUUGCAGGGGAGACUGGAAUUCCUGGUGUAGCGGUGAAAUGCGCAGAUAUCAGGAGGAACACCGGUGGCGAAGGCGGGUCUCUGGGCAACAACUGACGCUGAGGAGCGAAAGCGUGGGGAGCAAACAGG